This 429-nucleotide ribosomal RNA is filed under the name Acidobacteriota bacterium. RNAcentral's name for it is "Acidobacteria bacterium partial 16S ribosomal RNA". It matches the Rfam family "Bacterial small subunit ribosomal RNA", at positions 355 to 776 of the family's 1533-position model. Lineage: Bacteria; Pseudomonadati; Acidobacteriota. The record is from RNAcentral.
UGGGGAAUUUUGGACAAUGGGGGAAACCCUGAUCCAGCCAUCCCGCGUGUGCGAUGAAGGCCUUCGGGUUGUAAAGCACUUUUGGCAGGAAAGAAACGUCAUGGGUUAAUACCCCGUGAAACUGACGGUACCUGCAGAAUAAGCACCGGCUAACUACGUGCCAGCAGCCGCGGUAAUACGUAGGGUGCAAGCGUUAAUCGGAAUUACUGGGCGUAAAGCGUGCGCAGGCGGUUCGGAAAGAAAGAUGUGAAAUCCAAGAGCUCAACUUUGGAACUGCAUUUUUAACUACCGGGCUAGAGUGUGUCAGAGGGAGGUGGAAUUCCGCGUGUAGCAGUGAAAUGCGUAGAUAUGCGGAGGAACACCGAUGGCGAAGGCAGCCUACUGGGAUAACACUGACGCUCAUGCACGAAAGCGUGGGGAGCAAACAGG